Molecule: unclassified non-coding RNA, 359 nt
Filed under: uncultured Sordariomycetes
Lineage: Eukaryota; Fungi; Ascomycota; Sordariomycetes
Description: sequence contains ITS1
Rfam family: 5.8S ribosomal RNA (bases 1-105)
Source: RNAcentral
GAAAUGCGAUACGUAGUGUGAAUUGCAGAAUUUAGUGAACCAUCGAAUCUUUGAACGCACCUUGCGGCCGCCGGCAAUCCGGCGGCCAUGCCCGUCCGAGCGUCGUUUCGACCAUCGGGACUUUUCUCACUCUCUGCAUGCAGCGGGGUGGCGGUCCCGGCCUUGGGCCAGCGCGCACAGCCUCUAGGCCAGCGCGCGGCCCGCAGACCAGCGGCGGCAGCGCCCGCGACGUCCCCUGCGCAGUCGCUAAAGCUCGCAUUGGACUCCUGGCGCCGCCCGCCACGGGGCUCACGGCAGCCCCGGCAGCUACCAAGUAACAGGUCGACCUCGGAUCGGGUAGGGAUACCCGCUAAACUUAA